CGCAAGACCAAAGAGGGGGACCUUCGGGCCUCUUGCCAUCGGAUGUGCCCAGAUGGGAUUAGCUUGUUGGUGGGGUAACGGCUCACCUAGGCGACGAUCCCUAGCUGGUCUGAGAGGAUGACCAGCCACACUGGAACUGAGACACGGUCCAGACUCCUACGGGAGGCAGCAGUGGGGAAUAUUGCACAAUGGGCGCAAGCCUGAUGCAGCCAUGCCGCGUGUAUGAAGAAGGCCUUCGGGUUGUAAAGUACUUUCAGCGGGGAGGAAGGGAGUAAAGUUAAUACCUUUGCUCAUUGACGUUACCCGCAGAAGAAGCACCGGCUAACUCCGUGCCAGCAGCCGCGGUAAUACGGAGGGUGCAAGCGUUAAUCGGAAUUACUGGGCGUAAAGCGCACGCAGGCGGUUUGUUAAGUCAGAUGUGAAAUCCCCGGGCUCAACCUGGGAACUGCAUCUGAUACUGGCAAGCUUGAGUCUCGUAGAGGGGGGUAGAAUUCCAGGUGUAGCGGUGAAAUGCGUAGAGAUCUGGAGGAAUACCGGUGGCGAAGGCGGCCCCCUGGACGAAGACUGACGCUCAGGUGCGAAAGCGUGGGGAGCAAACAGGAAUAGAUACCCUGGUAGUCCACGCCGUAAACGAUGUCGACUUGGAGGUUGUGCCCUUGAGGCGUGGCUUCCGGAGCUAACGCGUUAAGUCGACCGCCUGGGGAGUACGGCCGCAAGGUUAAAACUCAAAUGAAUUGACGGGGGCCCGCACAAGCGGUGGAGCAUGUGGUUUAAUUCGAUGCAACGCGAAGAACCUUACCUGGUCUUGACAUCCACGGAAGUUUUCAGAGAUGAAAAUGUGCCUUCGGGAACCGUGAGACAGGUGCUGCAUGGCUGUCGUCAGCUCGUGUUGUGAAAUGUUGGGUUAAGUCCCGCAACGAGCGCAACCCUUAUCCUUUGUUGCCAGCGGUCCGGCCGGGAACUCAAAGGAGACUGCCAGUGAUAAACUGGAGGAAGGUGGGGAUGACGUCAAGUCAUCAUGGCCCUUACGACCAGGGCUACACACGUGCUACAAUGGCGCAUACAAAGAGAAGCGACCUCGCGAGAGCAAGCGGACCUCAUAAAGUGCGUCGUAGUCCGGAUUGGAGUCUGCAACUCGACUCCAUGAAGUCGGAAUCGCUAGUAAUCGUGGAUCAGAAUGCCACGGUGAAUACGUUCCCGGGCCUUGUACACACCGCCCGUCACACCAUGGGAGUGGGUUGC
RNAcentral lists this ribosomal RNA (1242 nucleotides) under uncultured Escherichia sp. RNAcentral describes it as "bacterial SSU rRNA". It matches the Rfam family "Bacterial small subunit ribosomal RNA", at positions 194 to 1418 of the family's 1533-position model. The record is from RNAcentral. Lineage: Bacteria; Pseudomonadati; Pseudomonadota; Gammaproteobacteria; Enterobacterales; Enterobacteriaceae.